RNAcentral lists this ribosomal RNA (497 nucleotides) under uncultured bacterium. RNAcentral's name for it is "partial 16S ribosomal RNA". It matches the Rfam family "Bacterial small subunit ribosomal RNA", at positions 28 to 507 of the family's 1533-position model. The record is from RNAcentral.
GAUGAACGCUGGCGGCGUGCCUAAUACAUGCAAGUCGAGCGAACAGACGAGUUGCUGGCUCCUCUGACGUUAGAGGCGGACGGAUGAGUAACAUAUGGUGAACCUGCCUAUGAGACUACGAUAAGUUCGGGAAACCGGUACUAAUACCGGAUAAUAUCUGCAAGCGCAUGGUUCAAUAGUGUAAGACGGUUUUGCUGUACCCGCGAGAUAGAUCCGCGCCGCAUUAGCUAGUUGGUAAGAUAACGGCUUCCGAUGGCCACCAUGAGUAGCCGACCGGCGAGGGUGAUCGGCCACACAGGAACUGAGACACGGUCCAGACUCCUACGGGCGGCAGCAGUAGGUAAGCUUCCGCAAUGGGCGAAAGCCUGACGGAGCAACGCCGCGUGAGUGAAGAAGGUCUUCGGGUCGUAAAACUCUGUUAUUAGGGAAGAACAAAUGUGUAAGUAACUAUGCACGUCUUGACGGUACCUAAUCAGAAAGCCACGGCUAACUACGUG